Molecule: long non-coding RNA, 1899 nt
Filed under: Marmota monax (woodchuck)
Lineage: Eukaryota; Metazoa; Chordata; Mammalia; Rodentia; Sciuridae
Source: RNAcentral
GUUGUUUGUUACCACAGCAGUAGGAAACCAAUAUAUUCAGUGAAAUUUUGCAUUUUUCAUAUAUAUCUUGCCUAUGUCUUGCUAGGUAUAUUCUGACAUAUAUGAUGUACUGUGAAUAGAAUCCUUUCAUUAUAUGUUGGCAUUGUUUUAAGUGUUUCAACAAGUAAAUAAUACCUAGAAUUAAAUGAAUCAUAUCUAAUUUACUUAAAUCCAAAAUGAAGGGUUCCCCUCCCCCUGCUAUGUAAAUUUCAUCCUUUUACAUUUAUUAGAGCAACUGUAAUGUUGAAAUAUAGAGGUAGGCCCCUUAUGUUCAAUGCAAUGUUGGCCUUAUCGCUUCCAUCGGUGCCUAUUUUUUAUUUAUUUAUUAAUUGAUUGAUUGAUUGAUACUGGGGAUUGAACUCAGGGGCACUCAACCAUGGAACCACAUCCCCAGCCCUAUUUGGUAUUUUAUUAGAGACAGGGUCUCACUGAGUUGCUUAGCGCCUCACCAUUGCUAAGGCUGGCUUUGAACCUGCGAUUCUCCCUUCUCAGCCUCCCAAGCUGCUGGGAUUACAGGUGUGUGCCACCCCACCUGGCUGGUGUCUAUUAUUAUUAUACUUUGUGUUUUUCACUUUUCCAUUUUAUUUUGCCUGAAAAAGUAUCUCUUCUUUCUUCCCAUUGUUCAUUUAGAAGCUCUGCAAUGCGUUGUCAUGCCAUUAUAUCAAGCCAUUAAUGGUUAUCAUUCAAUCUCUACCAAACAUACUUAAACUUGUUUUUCCUCCCCUCCUUUUGUUGUAGGGACAGAUGAGGUACGGCACUGAAGAUCGAAGGAAACAGUUUUAUUUGGCUACAGCCAGGUUCAGAGGGCACAACUUUUGCUGUAAUCAAUUAAUCCCCUGAACCCCAAGUUCAGGUAGAUUCAGAGUUUUAUCCCCAGCAUGUAAGGGGAAGGGCUCAGAAGUUCACAGUCUACAGAAGUUCACAUAAAAGCAGCUUUUUCUUUCACUGUUUUGGACAAGUUAACCCUUCAAGGACAACACCUGAGAAGGGGAGAGCUGCUUCUCCCCUUUCUUUCCUCCCCCUGCCAGCUGUUACCAUGGACCCAAUUGUAACUUAUCUUAAAAAUGUAGACAGCUCUGUGAAGCCCAGCUCAAGGCCAGAGGCCUUGUUUGCACAUUUCUAAAAACUACUCUACUGGAUAUGUUUGUGAAAAACUAGUAAGGGGGUGUCCAGCACCUGGAGUGCUGGUAUCUUCUCGGCCAGUAGUCAAGUAAAACAGGGCAACACAAAAAUAGGAAGUUUAUCUACACUGAACUGUUUUGCAAAGACUCUUUUGCCACAGUCCCCAAAUCUGCCAUGGUGAAGAUUCCUUGAGAAGCCCAGUUAAGACUUUUUUGUGGAGAAAGGGAGUGCCACUACACUUUUACAAAUAUUGAUAGAAUGUUUAUCGUAUUGGAUACUGUUGGAUAGGUGAAGAAAAUUUUAUAGUCAUCCCUUAUCUAACCAAAAUUAAGUUUUUUAAACUAAAAGUUUAAUGAAAACAGUUUUGACAAGAAAUUUUGUUUUGUUUUGCCUAGGGAUUGAACCCAGAGGCAUUUAAUCACUAAGCCACAUCCCCAGCCCUUUUUAUUUUUUAUUUUGAGACAGGAUCUCACUAAAUUACUUAGGGCCUCAUUAAGUUACUGAGGCUGUCUUUGAACUUAUGAUCCUCCUGCUUCAGCCUCCCAAGCUGUUAGGAUUACAAGUGUGCGCCAUCACACCCUGCCAUCAUUUUUUCUUUUUUUUCUGGUUACCAGGGAUUGAAUUCAGGGCCACUCAACCACUGAGCCACAUCCCCAGCCCUAUUGUGUAUUUUAUUUAGAGACAGGGUCUCAUUGAGGUGCUUAGCACCUCACUUGCUGAGGCUGGCUUUGAACUCAU